UUAAGCGACUAAGCGUACACGGUGGAUGCCCUGGCAGUCAGAGGCGAUGAAGGACGUGCUAAUCUGCGAUAAGCGUCGGUAAGGUGAUAUGAACCGUUAUAACCGGCGAUUUCCGAAUGGGGAAACCCAGUGUGAUUCGUCACACUAUCAUUAACUGAAUCCAUAGGUUAAUGAGGCGAACCGGGGGAACUGAAACAUCUAAGUACCCCGAGGAAAAGAAAUCAACCGAGAUUCCCCCAGUAGCGGCGAGCGAACGGGGAGCAGCCCAGAGCCUGAAUCAGUGUGUGUGUUAGUGGAAGCGUCUGGAAAGGCGCGCGAUACAGGGUGACAGCCCCGUACACAAAAAUGCACAUGCUGUGAGCUCGAUGAGUAGGGCGGGACACGUGGUAUCCUGUCUGAAUAUGGGGGGACCAUCCUCCAAGGCUAAAUACUCCUGACUGACCGAUAGUGAACCAGUACCGUGAGGGAAAGGCGAAAAGAACCCCGGCGAGGGGAGUGAAAAAGAACCUGAAACCGUGUACGUACAAGCAGUGGGAGCACGCUUAGGCGUGUGACUGCGUACCUUUUGUAUAAUGGGUCAGCGACUUAUAUUCUGUAGCAAGGUUAACCGAAUAGGGGAGCCGAAGGGAAACCGAGUCUUAACUGGGCGUUAAGUUGCAGGGUAUAGACCCGAAACCCGGUGAUCUAGCCAUGGGCAGGUUGAAGGUUGGGUAACACUAACUGGAGGACCGAACCGACUAAUGUUGAAAAAUUAGCGGAUGACUUGUGGCUGGGGGUGAAAGGCCAAUCAAACCGGGAGAUAGCUGGUUCUCCCCGAAAGCUAUUUAGGUAGCGCCUCGUGAAUUCAUCUCCGGGGGUAGAGCACUGUUUCGGCAAGGGGGUCAUCCCGACUUACCAACCCGAUGCAAACUGCGAAUACCGGAGAAUGUUAUCACGGGAGACACACGGCGGGUGCUAACGUCCGUCGUGAAGAGGGAAACAACCCAGACCGCCAGCUAAGGUCCCAAAGUCAUGGUUAAGUGGGAAACGAUGUGGGAAGGCCCAGACAGCCAGGAUGUUGGCUUAGAAGCAGCCAUCAUUUAAAGAAAGCGUAAUAGCUCACUGGUCGAGUCGGCCUGCGCGGAAGAUGUAACGGGGCUAAACCAUGCACCGAAGCUGCGGCAGCGACGCUUAUGCGUUGUUGGGUAGGGGAGCGUUCUGUAAGCCUGCGAAGGUGUGCUGUGAGGCAUGCUGGAGGUAUCAGAAGUGCGAAUGCUGACAUAAGUAACGAUAAAGCGGGUGAAAAGCCCGCUCGCCGGAAGACCAAGGGUUCCUGUCCAACGUUAAUCGGGGCAGGGUGAGUCGACCCCUAAGGCGAGGCCGAAAGGCGUAGUCGAUGGGAAACAGGUUAAUAUUCCUGUACUUGGUGUUACUGCGAAGGGGGGACGGAGAAGGCUAUGUUGGCCGGGCGACGGUUGUCCCGGUUUAAGCGUGUAGGCUGGUUUUCCAGGCAAAUCCGGAAAAUCAAGGCUGAGGCGUGAUGACGAGGCACUACGGUGCUGAAGCAACAAAUGCCCUGCUUCCAGGAAAAGCCUCUAAGCAUCAGGUAACAUCAAAUCGUACCCCAAACCGACACAGGUGGUCAGGUAGAGAAUACCAAGGCGCUUGAGAGAACUCGGGUGAAGGAACUAGGCAAAAUGGUGCCGUAACUUCGGGAGAAGGCACGCUGAUAUGUAGGUGAAGUCCCUCGCGGAUGGAGCUGAAAUCAGUCGAAGAUACCAGCUGGCUGCAACUGUUUAUUAAAAACACAGCACUGUGCAAACACGAAAGUGGACGUAUACGGUGUGACGCCUGCCCGGUGCCGGAAGGUUAAUUGAUGGGGUUAGCGGUAACGCGAAGCUCUUGAUCGAAGCCCCGGUAAACGGCGGCCGUAACUAUAACGGUCCUAAGGUAGCGAAAUUCCUUGUCGGGUAAGUUCCGACCUGCACGAAUGGCGUAAUGAUGGCCAGGCUGUCUCCACCCGAGACUCAGUGAAAUUGAACUCGCUGUGAAGAUGCAGUGUACCCGCGGCAAGACGGAAAGACCCCGUGAACCUUUACUAUAGCUUGACACUGAACAUUGAGCCUUGAUGUGUAGGAUAGGUGGGAGGCUUUGAAGUGUGGACGCCAGUCUGCAUGGAGCCGACCUUGAAAUACCACCCUUUAAUGUUUGAUGUUCUAACGUUGACCCGUAAUCCGGGUUGCGGACAGUGUCUGGUGGGUAGUUUGACUGGGGCGGUCUCCUCCUAAAGAGUAACGGAGGAGCACGAAGGUUGGCUAAUCCUGGUCGGACAUCAGGAGGUUAGUGCAAUGGCAUAAGCCAGCUUGACUGCGAGCGUGACGGCGCGAGCAGGUGCGAAAGCAGGUCAUAGUGAUCCGGUGGUUCUGAAUGGAAGGGCCAUCGCUCAACGGAUAAAAGGUACUCCGGGGAUAACAGGCUGAUACCGCCCAAGAGUUCAUAUCGACGGCGGUGUUUGGCACCUCGAUGUCGGCUCAUCACAUCCUGGGGCUGAAGUAGGUCCCAAGGGUAUGGCUGUUCGCCAUUUAAAGUGGUACGCGAGCUGGGUUUAGAACGUCGUGAGACAGUUCGGUCCCUAUCUGCCGUGGGCGCUGGAGAACUGAGGGGGGCUGCUCCUAGUACGAGAGGACCGGAGUGGACGCAUCACUGGUGUUCGGGUUGUCAUGCCAAUGGCACUGCCCGGUAGCUAAAUGCGGAAGAGAUAAGUGCUGAAAGCAUCUAAGCACGAAACUUGCCCCGAGAUGAGUUCUCCCUGACUCCCUGAGAGUCCUGAAGGAACGUUGAAGACGACGACGUUGAUAGGCCGGGUGUGUAAGCGCAGCGAUGCGUUGAGCUAACCGGUACUAAUGAACCGUGAGGCUUAACCUU
Molecule: ribosomal RNA, 2904 nt
Filed under: human gut metagenome
Description: bacterial LSU rRNA
Rfam family: Bacterial large subunit ribosomal RNA
Source: RNAcentral